GAGUUGGAAAACAAGCAGUGCUAACAAUUCGUACGGAUGAACACAUUCCAAGACGCUCUCCUGAAAAUGUCCGUGCCGAGGUAGAAACCUCGACUAGUAUCUAUGUAGAUUGGGCAAACGUUACUUCCAACUUCGUUCAUGGAAUACUGCUGGGUUAUAAUGUCGCAAUUCAGAGAACAAAGGAUGAGUCAACACGCUAUGUGGAUGCUCCUCCCGGUGAAAAGGAUAGACCCAUCUAUGUGACAAAUUUGAAAAGUACACGGAGUAUACAAUUUGGGUGCGUGCAAGAAAUUCGAAAGGCAUAGGUCAAUUGAAUUCUCCCGAUGGUUUUCGAUUGAGAACUAAGGAAGAUGCACCGGAUGCAGCACCUUCCAAUAUCAGAGUUUCAUCCAUGGUAUCCAUUUCAGUUAUAAAAUUACAAUGGGAUAAAAUCCCGAGGAUAAAGCAAACGGUAUAAUACGUGGAUACUAUAUUGAAUACACAGCAACCAAUCUAAAUGGUCAAAAUGUGGAAUUAAAUGAAAGGGUGACGAAGACAGUCCGUGUCAGAGGCAAUCGCGAUUCAAUAGACUUAGAAAAUCUUACACCUGGAUCAUCUUAUGAUAUCACAAUAUUUGGCUACACAAUUAAAAACGGAACAAAAAGUAAUUUGAAGAACGGACGUACCUGCAAUUGUCCCGAAUAUAUAAAAGUUAAUUGGUGGAAUAUUCCUCCAUAUACGGACCAAAGUAUAGAGAGUCCUGGAGGUAUAUUUGCUCAUACAGUCGAUUUUUUAAUUGACAUGUGUGGAGAUUGUAAAAAUGGUCAUGGUAAGAGUAAACCUUGUUACCGUCCGGGCUGCAAUCAACCGUCUUCUCGAAGACGUCGAGCAAUCGACUCGUACCAUCAAGAAAGUUUUCAGAAUUUUUUGAAUAAUAUCAAUGACGAUGUAGACGUCAGUUUUCCUGUUCAAGGAAAUAAGUAUUUGACACAUCAUGGUGGUAUUCAGCCAUAUGUUUCAGUCGUAGAAAGUACUGGAUCAGUUUAUUUUACUGUCAAAAC
This is a long non-coding RNA of Xenia sp. Carnegie-2017, 1040 nucleotides long. RefSeq lists it as uncharacterized. The transcript is spliced from 4 exons. The record is from RefSeq and is a predicted model, not a curated record. NCBI's taxonomy places the organism in Eukaryota, Metazoa, Cnidaria, Anthozoa, Malacalcyonacea, Xeniidae.